This 83-nucleotide transfer RNA is filed under the name bacterium. RNAcentral's name for it is "tRNA-Leu". It matches the Rfam family "tRNA". From Rfam's summary of the family: Transfer RNA (tRNA) molecules are approximately 80 nucleotides in length. The record is from RNAcentral.
GCCCGCGUGGUGAAAUGGUAUACACGAGGGACUUAAAAUCCCUUGGUCGAAAGGCCAUGUCGGUUCGAGUCCGACCGCGGGCA